ACAUUUCACUGGUGGGCUGAUG
Molecule: microRNA, 22 nt
Filed under: Patiria miniata (bat star)
Lineage: Eukaryota; Metazoa; Echinodermata; Asteroidea; Valvatida; Asterinidae
Description: Pmi-Mir-22-P2_5p* (star (passenger))
Source: RNAcentral